AUUGAACGCUGGCGGCUGCCUUACACAUGCAAGUCGAACGGUAACAGGUCUUCGGACGCUGACGAGUGGCGAACGGGUGAGUAAUACAUCGGAACGUGCCCAGUCGUGGGGGAUAACUACUCGAAAGAGUAGCUAAUACCGCAUACGAUCUGAGGAUGAAAGCGGGGGACCUUCGGGCCUCGCGCGAUUGGAGCGGCCGAUGGCAGAUUAGGUAGUUGGUGGGAUAAAAGCUUACCAAGCCGACGAUCUGUAGCUGGUCUGAGAGGACGACCAGCCACACUGGGACUGAGACACGGCCCAGACUCCUACGGGAGGCAGCAGUGGGGAAUUUUGGACAAUGGGCGAAAGCCUGAUCCAGCAAUGCCGCGUGCAGGAUGAAGGCCUUCGGGUUGUAAACUGCUUUUGUACGGAACGAAAAAGCUUCUCCUAAUACGAGAGGCCCAUGACGGUACCGUAAGAAUAAGCACCGGCUAACUACGUGCCAGCAGCCGCGGUAAUACGUAGGGUGCGAGCGUUAAUCGGAAUUACUGGGCGUAAAGCGUGCGCAGGCGGUUAUGUAAGACAGAUGUGAAAUCCCCGGGCUCAACCUGGGAACUGCAUUUGUGACUGCAUGGCUAGAGUACGGUAGAGGGGGAUGGAAUUCCGCGUGUAGCAGUGAAAUGCGUAGAUAUGCGGAGGAACACCGAUGGCGAAGGCAAUCCCCUGGACCUGUACUGACGCUCAUGCACGAAAGCGUGGGGAGCAAACAGG
This 750-nucleotide ribosomal RNA is filed under the name uncultured beta proteobacterium. RNAcentral's name for it is "bacterial SSU rRNA". It matches the Rfam family "Bacterial small subunit ribosomal RNA", at positions 28 to 776 of the family's 1533-position model. The record is from RNAcentral. Lineage: Bacteria; Pseudomonadati; Pseudomonadota; Betaproteobacteria.